UGGGGAAUAUUGCACAAUGGAGGGAACUCUGAUGCAGCGACGCCGCGUGAACGAAGAAGGCUUUCGAGUCGUAAAGUUCUUUUAUAUGGGAAGAUAAUGACGGUACCAUAAGAAAAAGCCCCGGCUUACUACGUGCCAGCAGCCGCGGUAAUACGUAGGGGGCUAGCGUUGUCCGGAAUCACUGGGCGUAAAGGGUUCGCAGGCGGAAAUGCAAGUCAGGUGUAAAAGGCAGUAGCUUAACUACUGUAAGCAUUUGAAACUGAAUAUCUUGAGAAGAGUAGAGGUAAGUGGAAUUUUUAGUGUAGCGGUGAAAUGCGUAGAUAUUAAAAAGAAUACCGGUGGCGAAGGCGACUUACUGGGCUCAUUCUGACGCUGAGGAACGAAAGCGUGGGUAGCAAACAGG
RNAcentral lists this ribosomal RNA (403 nucleotides) under bacterium. Its description in RNAcentral is "partial 16S ribosomal RNA". It matches the Rfam family "Bacterial small subunit ribosomal RNA", at positions 355 to 776 of the family's 1533-position model. The record is from RNAcentral.